CAGCCUGAACUAUGGGUUGCAAUGAGCAAGACAUUAAUAGGAUGCAACGUGCCGUCUACAUGUUCUACUACUAGUGGCACUGACCAGAAAUGUGAUGGAUCCGAAAGUAAUAUUCCAGAUAACGGACACAAUUGUAAAACAAGUCCGAAUCAAUGACACAGAAAUGGUAUCCUCACGUAUGAUGUGCGACAGAGUAUGAACUGAAAUUAUAGUGAAAAUAGAGUUUGAUAUUUUGAAAACAAUUAUAUUAAAAAGAGUUCAUUU
Molecule: long non-coding RNA, 264 nt
Organism: Mytilus californianus (California mussel)
Lineage: Eukaryota; Metazoa; Mollusca; Bivalvia; Mytilida; Mytilidae
Exons: 3
Source: RefSeq, a predicted model, not a curated record